This 1164-nucleotide antisense RNA is filed under the name Pongo abelii (Sumatran orangutan). The stretch from base 45 to 101 matches the Rfam family "HOXA transcript at the distal tip, conserved region 1". Lineage: Eukaryota; Metazoa; Chordata; Mammalia; Primates; Hominidae. The record is from RNAcentral.
CCCUUCCUUUAUCCCAGUAGGGCCCAGACCCGCGCAACCAGGCGGGGAGGGGAGGUGGGCGCGCGAUUGGGUUGCGAUCUGGAGCGGUGGGGACAGGUCAGGAACCGGGGCGUAUUUCUGCAGUGAGACCCUAGGACGGACAUCGGCGCCUUCGGCUUCGAUGGAGUUGCGAUUUUGCUCUUUCCAGGGAAACAGUGGCAGGGUGUUUGCUGCUUGUCGGUUCCUGCGGAUAUGCCUGGCUCAUGGGUCCCAGGACAUUCCACUGGAGGCUUGGACUGCAUUUAGGAGCCCCUAUCCCUUCCCUGUCCACACUGUUAUUGAGCAAUUUCAUAUGUUUGCAUUUAGACCCAUAGACUCAGAACGACUCAUCACAAACACACACAGUGUACACUCACAUUCGCACACUUAGGUAUACAGCCUGAUCCUUGCUCUGACCCGGUAACAACGCUUCCUCCUCCAGAGACUUUGAGAUAGAGCGAGCGAUCCGUGUGCACCAUUCAUCCAUGCUCCCACCUCGCCAGUAUGGCUGGCUUGUUCUGGAAGGGGCUUAAGAGGAACAAGCCCCAGCUGUGCUUCUGGCUGGGACUUAAGCCCCCCUUCUGGGCCCUAACGCCACGCUUCUUUGUGGACCGGACCUGACUCUCCAGGAACCUGGGAACCCGCUAUUUCACUCUACUUUGGGACAGGAAAAAGGGUAUCUUUGGGGCCACUUCCUGCCUUCCCCUCAAGUAGGAUCUCCAGCCUGCAGAGGGUGCCUAGUCCUUCUUUGCCCAAGAACCAGCCCAAGAAGCCUUUCCUCUGUGCCUGGGAAAUGCAACUUUUUCUUGGGAGCAUGGUAAGGUGUUGGUGCUGAAGAACAAAGCAGCGACCCUUCUUGCAGCUGCCAUGUUUUGUCGAGGGGUUCUGGGGGUCCUGCUGCUUUAGGGCCACAUACUUCCACUUCCUGAUUCACUACUGUGAGCUGGUCAGAUGCCUAGAAGAGGAACAAGCGUUCAAAGUGAAAGUGGGCACAUUACCGGAAUAGUGCUGGGGAGAGUGCUGGAUUCUUUUCCACCCCAGGCGCACUGGUGAGAAGCCAGGCUUGGACCUGUCCUCUGUUCCUAGCUUGCACAGUCAGCCCUAAACUCAGAGCAGCAUGCAUACCACCCCCCACACACACCCCAC